Long non-coding RNA from Cavia porcellus (domestic guinea pig), 511 nucleotides. RefSeq lists it as uncharacterized. The record is from RefSeq and is a predicted model, not a curated record. NCBI's taxonomy places the organism in Eukaryota, Metazoa, Chordata, Mammalia, Rodentia, Caviidae. The transcript has 2 exons.
GUUAUCUUCGAGCUUUACACAUAAACAUCUUUCUUCAACCACAAGCAAGACAAACGCGUUGCCUGCCGUUUGUGAGCUUAGGUGGGGAGGAAGGAGAGGGGCAGCAAAAACAGCUCAAACAAGACAGGCAAACAGCACCCAGUUAGUGUGAGCAACUCUAACCACAGCUAUGUACAGAGCUGUAAAAACAAUUCACCGAGGCUCUGACUCAGGCGAAGGAGCUGAUGUGUGCUCUGACACCACAGGGUUCAAUGAAGAUAUGUGACUGAAUAAAUGUCCGGGGCCUGAGGAGAGGCCAGCUUUGACUCUGGCCUCAGAGUUUACCUCUGCUCACAAGCAAUGGAGCAGGGGAGGGAUGGCUGCAGAGUCACAGCAAGAACCUGUUUUCUGCCACUUAGGAGCCAGACAGUCACACCAAUCCUCAACUUCCUGAUCUGUAAAUGAAGACAAUAUCACAUCCUUACAAGGUUUGAAAGAAUAAAUAAAGAUGCAGAAGUGUAACUCAUUGUAA